CCUACGGGUCGCACCAGUAGGGAAUCUUCGGCAAUGGACGAAAGUCUGACCGAGCAACGCCGCGUGAGUGAAGAAGGUUUUCGGAUCGUAAAACUCUGUUGUUAGAGAAGAACAAGGACGUUAGUAACUGAACGUCCCCUGACGGUAUCUAACCAGAAAGCCACGGCUAACUACGUGCCAGCAGCCGCGGUAAUACGUAGGUGGCAAGCGUUGUCCGGAUUUAUUGAGCGUAAAGCGAGCGCAGGCGGUUUCUUAAGUCUGAUGUGAAAGCCCCCGGCUCAACCGGGGAGGGUCAUUGGAAACUGGGAGACUUGAGUGCAGAAGAGGAGAGUGGAGUUCCAUGUGUAGCGGUGAAAUGCGUAGAUACAUGGAGGAACACCAGCGGCGAAGGCGGCUCUCUGGUCUGUAACUGACGCUGAGGCUCGAAAGCGUGGAGAGCAAACAGGAUUAGAUACCCCCGUAGUC
This 465-nucleotide ribosomal RNA is filed under the name uncultured bacterium. RNAcentral describes it as "bacterial SSU rRNA". It matches the Rfam family "Bacterial small subunit ribosomal RNA", at positions 338 to 795 of the family's 1533-position model. The record is from RNAcentral.